UAGGGAAUCUUCGGCAAUGGGGGCAACCCUGACCGAGCAACGCCGCGUGAGUGAAGAAGGUUUUCGGAUCGUAAAGCUCUGUUGUAAGAGAAGAACGUGUGUGAGAGUGGAAAGUUCACACAGUGACGGUAACUUACCAGAAAGGGACGGCUAACUACGUGCCAGCAGCCGCGGUAAUACGUAGGUCCCGAGCGUUGUCCGGAUUUAUUGGGCGUAAAGCGAGCGCAGGCGGUUUAAUAAGUCUGAAGUUAAAGGCAGUGGCUUAACCAUUGUUCGCUUUGGAAACUGUUAAACUUGAGUGCAGAAGGGGAGGGUGGAAUUCCAUGUGAAGCGGUGAAAUGCGUAGAUAUAUGGAGGAACACCGGUGGCGAAAGCGGCUCUCUGGUCUGUAACUGACGCUGAGGCUCGAAAGCGUGGGGAGCAAACAGG
Molecule: ribosomal RNA, 429 nt
Filed under: bacterium
Lineage: Bacteria
Description: partial 16S ribosomal RNA
Rfam family: Bacterial small subunit ribosomal RNA
Source: RNAcentral